UUCACCCAGCUAUCCCUUCAUCAGCCAUUUCUACAGCAGCGGGAGAGGGGCAAGCAGGAUGCUAAUUCUCACUGUAACACAACCAGGCCCGACGUCCCUCCCUGCUCUGUGCCUGAUGGUUGAAUCCAGGCACCUUGGAGCUCUGCUGACAUCAUGGAAAAUCUUAGCUGCACAGCCACAGAGCACACACUUGCCAAUUAGCCGGGAAGCCCACAGAGGAGAGAGAGCCCCACCACUGCCCUGGAUGUUCCCCUGGACCCCUGGCAACCAAGGGCCAAAGGAAAGCUUAGCUUCUGAGCCAAGAGAACGCCCUUCCUUCUUCCUGGACAGCGAGAAACCAGUGUGGUACCAGGACAGGCACAGGAGCUGUCUUUUCCACAUGCUGGCAGUGAGAACACACAGUACCCAGAACGAGUUUCAAAACAAUAAUAAAACUCAUGAAAGCU
Non-coding RNA from Peromyscus maniculatus bairdii (prairie deer mouse), 446 nucleotides. Lineage: Eukaryota; Metazoa; Chordata; Mammalia; Rodentia; Cricetidae. The record is from RefSeq and is a predicted model, not a curated record.